This is a long non-coding RNA of Melospiza melodia melodia, 390 nucleotides long. RefSeq lists it as uncharacterized. The transcript has 3 exons. NCBI's taxonomy places the organism in Eukaryota, Metazoa, Chordata, Aves, Passeriformes, Passerellidae. The record is from RefSeq and is a predicted model, not a curated record.
GCUGGAUGAGAGAUACUGGCUGGAGAAUUAUUUUUGGAGUGGGCUCCUGGGUGCCAGUAAUGUAGCAGAGGAAAACAUGCUUCCUACCCAGGAGAUGGAAGAACAUUCUCCAUAAUAGGAAUCCAAAAGUCAAGUACUGUGCGAGUGGCAUAGGAAGUUACUGGAAACUGGGAAGACACAUCAGGGAGCAAGUUCAAGGUAGACCACGCCAGGCUGGCCCCAGAAGUAAAGAGCUGAAAGGACACCCCAUGGACAUGUUUGGGAGUCCAUGUCUGCACAUCCCUGCUGUAAAAUAAUGUCCGUUUUUUCCUCUGUCUUUGGUGUUUUAAGAAAAAACCCAAACAAACCCACCCAAAUAGAAUGUGGCCUGCUUUCUCUCUCUUCUCAAGA